GUAGCCGUUUGACAACCGACCACUCAGAAGCAUGUGUGCAAGUUAAAGUAUGACCCCCAGAUAUCGGAGCUCAACAAAGGAAAGCAGUGCCAGGGAUCGCAUUGACUGAUUGUCCCGCUGAACAGGCAUCCUGUUCAAACUGCAGCUGACUCAUGCAGAGACCAUGAGAUGACUGGCAGCAGUGCCACCUGUGAGUGCUGCCAACUCUCUUUGUUACAAACGCAGAGCCAAACAUGCUGCUGCAAGGAACUGAACCAGUAUGGAGGCAGAAUGAAUGGGCACAAACUGCCACAGACACAUUCCAAAAGGGUUUCCAAGAAGAUUGGAGGCUGUUAUGGCUGCAAAUGGGGGACCAACUCCACAUUAAGCUUGAGUACGUCUCUCUGAAUAGCACCAAGGCUGCUAACUGAACCUGUGCAAGGACUGUAUCCUCUGUUCUUGGGACGCCUGC
Long non-coding RNA from Cheilinus undulatus (humphead wrasse), 451 nucleotides. RefSeq lists it as uncharacterized. The transcript is spliced from 4 exons. Lineage: Eukaryota; Metazoa; Chordata; Actinopteri; Labriformes; Labridae. The record is from RefSeq and is a predicted model, not a curated record.